This 646-nucleotide ribosomal RNA is filed under the name uncultured Brevundimonas sp. RNAcentral describes it as "bacterial SSU rRNA". It matches the Rfam family "Bacterial small subunit ribosomal RNA", at positions 123 to 803 of the family's 1533-position model. Lineage: Bacteria; Pseudomonadati; Pseudomonadota; Alphaproteobacteria; Caulobacterales; Caulobacteraceae. The record is from RNAcentral.
AACGUGCCUUUAGGUUCGGAAUAGCUCCUGGAAACGGGUGGUAAUGCCGAAUGUGCCCUUCGGGGGAAAGAUUUAUCGCCUUUAGAGCGGCCCGCGUCUGAUUAGCUAGUUGGUGAGGUAAUGGCUCACCAAGGCGACGAUCAGUAGCUGGUCUGAGAGGAUGACCAGCCACAUUGGGACUGAGACACGGCCCAAACUCCUACGGGAGGCAGCAGUGGGGAAUCUUGCGCAAUGGGCGAAAGCCUGACGCAGCCAUGCCGCGUGGAUGAUGAAGGUCUUAGGAUUGUAAAAUCCUUUCACCGGUGAAGAUAAUGACUGUAGCCGGAGAAGAAGCCCCGGCUAACUUCGUGCCAGCAGCCGCGGUAAUACGAAGGGGGCUAGCGUUGCUCGGAAUUACUGGGCGUAAAGGGAGCGUAGGCGGACAUUUAAGUCAGGGGUGAAAUCCCGGAGCUCAACUUCGGAACUGCCUUUGAUACUGGGUGUCUUGAGUGUGAGAGAGGUAUGUGGAACUCCGAGUGUAGAGGUGAAAUUCGUAGAUAUUCGGAAGAACACCAGUGGCGAAGGCGACAUACUGGCUCAUUACUGACGCUGAGGCUCGAAAGCGUGGGGAGCAAACAGGAUUAGAUACCCUGGUAGUCCACGCCGU